AUUGAACGCUGGCGGCAGGCCUAACACAUGCAAGUCGAACGGUAACAGGAAACAGCUUGCUGUUUCGCUGACGAGUGGCGGACGGGUGAGUAAUGUCUGGGAAACUGCCUGAUGGAGGGGGAUAACUACUGGAAACGGUAGCUAAUACCGCAUAACGUCGCAAGACCAAAGAGGGGGACCCUCGGGCCUCUUGCCAUCGGAUGUGCCCAGAUGGGAUUAGCUUGUUGGUGGGGUAACGGCUCACCAAGGCGACGAUCCCUAGCUGGUCUGAGAGGAUGACCAGCCACACUGGAACUGAGACACGGUCCAGACUCCUACGGGAGGCAGCAGUGGGGAAUAUUGCACAAUGGGCGCAAGCCUGAUGCAGCCAUGCCGCGUGUAUGAAGAAGGCCUGCGGGUUGUAAAGUACUUUCAGCGGGGAGGAAGGGAGUAAAGUUAAUACCUUUGCUCAUUGACGUUACCCGCAGAAGAAGCACCGGCUAACUCCGU
This 489-nucleotide ribosomal RNA is filed under the name uncultured bacterium. RNAcentral describes it as "partial 16S ribosomal RNA". It matches the Rfam family "Bacterial small subunit ribosomal RNA", at positions 30 to 506 of the family's 1533-position model. The record is from RNAcentral.